Molecule: unclassified non-coding RNA, 405 nt
Filed under: Hevea brasiliensis (rubber tree)
Lineage: Eukaryota; Viridiplantae; Streptophyta; Magnoliopsida; Malpighiales; Euphorbiaceae
Source: RNAcentral
UGAAAAAUUAAUGAAAUUUGGGGCUACUGAGUUCAAGGGCACUGUGGACCCACUAGAAGCAGAACAGUGGCUAGAACGGAUGGAAAGGGUAUUCAGAAAGCUGCAAUGUGCUGAGGAAUUAAAAUUUGAAUACUUAGUAUCUCUUCUGCAAGGGGAUGCGUAUGAAUGGUGGAAGACAAUCCCCCACAGUCUGGUUGAGCCACCUGUUCUUACAUGGGCAUAUUUCUUGAGGGAGUUCAGACAGAAAUGGGUCCUCGAUACCUAUGUUGACAUGAAAGUGCAAGAAUUUUUGAAUCUGAAGCAAGGGGACAAGACCAUAGCAGAAUAUGAACGAGAUUUUUCAAGGCUAAGCCACUAUACUAGAAGCUUGGUCUCUACCCACAGAGACAGAUGUAAGAGGUUUGA